This 331-nucleotide unclassified non-coding RNA is filed under the name soil metagenome. Its description in RNAcentral is "partial contains 5.8S ribosomal RNA, internal transcribed spacer 2, and large subunit ribosomal RNA". The stretch from base 1 to 120 matches the Rfam family "5.8S ribosomal RNA", at positions 35 to 154 of the family's 154-position model. The record is from RNAcentral.
GAUGAAGAACGCAGCGAAAUGCGAUAAGUAAUGUGAAUUGCAGAAUUCAGUGAAUCAUCGAAUCUUUGAACGCACAUUGCGCCCCCUGGUAUUCCGGGGGGCAUGCCUGUUCGAGCGUCAUUUCACCACUCAAGCCUCGCUUGGGAUUGGGCAACGCGGUCCGCCGCGUGCCUCAAAUCGACCGGCUGGGUCUUCUGUCCCCUAAGCGUUGUGGAAACUAUUCGCUAAAGGGUGUUCGGGAGGCUACGCCGUAAAACAACCCCAUUUCUAAGGUUGACCUCGGAUCAGGUAGGGAUACCCGCUGAACUUAAGCAUAUCAAUAAGCGGAGGA